GGAUGGGUGGCCGAGCGGUCUAAGGCGCGCGCCUGGAAAGUGCGUAUACGUCAAAAGCGUAUCGUGGGUUCGAAUCCCACCCCAUCCGCCA
This 91-nucleotide transfer RNA is filed under the name Gemmobacter sp. RNAcentral's name for it is "tRNA-Ser". It matches the Rfam family "tRNA". Rfam says of the family: Transfer RNA (tRNA) molecules are approximately 80 nucleotides in length. Lineage: Bacteria; Pseudomonadati; Pseudomonadota; Alphaproteobacteria; Rhodobacterales; Paracoccaceae. RNAcentral also lists the same sequence under 2 other names. The record is from RNAcentral.